RNA transcript from Culicoides brevitarsis, 1533 nucleotides. It is a transcript of the gene named annexin B9-like, with no coding region annotated. NCBI's taxonomy places the organism in Eukaryota, Metazoa, Arthropoda, Insecta, Diptera, Ceratopogonidae. The record is from RefSeq and is a predicted model, not a curated record. The transcript is spliced from 6 exons.
CUCAAGUUAGUUGGUUGCUGAAGGUUAAACUGUUUGGAUUAAUUCAUUCAAGUCCGGUGUUUUUGUGGAUUUACUCUCAGAACAAAUAAAAUAAAAAAAGCAUUUAAACACACACAACUGCGAUUAUUUAACAAAAAGUACAAAUUACCCAAUAAACAAAGAAAAUCCAUUGAAAAUGAGUUCCGCCGAUUAUUAUCCAUUCAGAUGUACUCCAGCUGUCUACCCUGCCGAGCCUUUUGACGCCAAUGAAGAUGCCGCUACGUUGCGCAAAGCCAUGAAAGGUUUGGGUACCGACGAGAAAGCCAUCAUCGAAGUUUUGGCUCGUCGCGGUAUCGUUCAACGUAUCGAAAUCGCAAACGCCUUCAAAACCCAAUACGGCAAGGAUUUGAUUUCCAACCUCAAAUCCGAAUUGGGAGGCAAAUUCGAGGAUGUCAUCCUUGCUCUCAUGACGCCAUUGCCGCAAUUCUACGCCAAGGAAUUGCACGAUGCUGUCGCCGGAUUGGGCACUGACGAAGAAGCCAUCAUCGAGAUUUUGUGCACUUUGUCGAACUAUGGCAUCAAAACGAUCGCCGAGUUCUAUGAACAAAUGUACGGAAAAUCCUUGGAGGAAGACUUGAAAGGCGACACAAGCGGAGCUUUCAAGCAUUUGUGCGUAUCCUUGGUUCAGGGAUGUCGCGACGAGAAUACCGGAGUUGAUGAGGGCGCUGCUUCCGCUGAUGCUCAAUCCUUGUUCGAAGCUGGCGAAGGACAAUGGGGCACCGAAUCAUCAGUAUUUAACCAAAUUUUGUGCACUCGCUCCUACCAACAAUUGCGCCAAAUUUUCGUCGAGUACGAAAAACUUGCGGGACAUGACAUCGAAAAAGCUAUCAAGCGUGAAUUCUCCGGAAAUGUCGAAAAAGGAUUCUUGUCCAUUGUUCGUUGCGUCAAAUCAAAAGUUGAUUACUUUGCUGAACGCCUCCAUGAUUCCAUGGCUGGAAUGGGCACAAAGGACAAAACUUUGAUCCGUAUCAUCGUCAGUCGUUCCGAAAUCGAUUUGGGAGACAUUAAGGAAGCAUUCCAAGCCAGAUACGGCAAGAGUUUGGAGUCUUGGAUCAAGGAUGAUGUUGGAGGCGACUCGGGUGAUUGUUUAGCGAUGAUCGCAUGUGGCAGCUGUUAACUUCGAUAUUAAUACUUUCUCUUGAGACUAACCUAAAAGCCUUAUAACAUAGUGAUGUUGAAAAGAAACUUGGCUACUGUCUUGCUACGCUCGUAGCUUAUUGAGAACAUUUUGCUUCCGAACAUACAUUUUUGGCAAUAACAUAAUAAUCACACAGUAUUUACAGUACAGAAAACACAUUUCAACUUCCAUUUAUGAUAAAAAAAAAUGCACAAAAGUUUUGUUUGUAAAAAAAAAUUGUUAGAAGUGCCUUUUUGUACCUAAUAAUGAAUUUAGAGUUUGAAUUCCUUUUUGAUAUGAUUAACAACCUGAAUUAUUAUAUCUGUAUUAUCUAUUGAAAAAAAAUAUUAAUUUAUAUAAAAACUUGGAAUCUCCAA